GACGAACGCUGGCGGCGUGCCUAACACAUGCAAGUCGAACGGAGAUAUGAUUUCGGUUGUAUCUUAGUGGCGAACGGGUGAGUAACGCGUGAGCAACCUGACUCUUAGAGGGGGAUAACACUCGGAAACGGGUGCUAAUACCGCAUAAGACCACGACAUGGCAUCAUGACGAGGUCAAAGGAGCAAUCCGCUGAGAGAGGGGCUCGCGUCCCAUUAGAUAGAUGGCGGGGUAACGGCCCACCAUGUCAACGAUGGGUAGCCGAGCUGAGAGGCUGAUCGGCCACACUGGAACUGAGACACGGUCCAGACUCCUAUGGGAGGCAGCAGGUGGGGAAUAUUGGGCAAUGGGCGCAAGCCUGACCCAGCAACGCCGCGUGAAGGACGAAGGUUUUCGGAUCGUAAACUUCUUUGACCAGGGACGAAAGAAUGACGGUACCUGGUGAACAAGCCACGGCUAACUACGUG
Molecule: ribosomal RNA, 465 nt
Filed under: uncultured bacterium
Lineage: Bacteria
Description: bacterial SSU rRNA
Rfam family: Bacterial small subunit ribosomal RNA
Source: RNAcentral